RNAcentral lists this ribosomal RNA (274 nucleotides) under uncultured bacterium. RNAcentral's name for it is "partial small subunit ribosomal RNA". It matches the Rfam family "Bacterial small subunit ribosomal RNA", at positions 26 to 285 of the family's 1533-position model. The record is from RNAcentral.
AGAAUCAACGCUGGCGGCGUGCCUAACACAUGCAAGUCGAACGCGAAAGUCCCGCAAGGGAUUAGUAGAGUGGCAAACGGGUGAGUAACACGUGGGUGACCUGCCUUCGAGCGGGGGAUAACGUCCCGAAAGGGACGCUAAUACCGCAUAACAUCCUGCCUUUGAAGAGGUGGAGAUCAAAGCCGGGGAUUCGCAAGAACCUGGCACUUGAAGAGGGGCCCGCGCCUGAUUAGCUAGUUGGUGGGGUAAUGGCCUACCAAGGCAACGAUCAGUA